RNAcentral lists this ribosomal RNA (888 nucleotides) under uncultured bacterium. RNAcentral's name for it is "bacterial SSU rRNA". It matches the Rfam family "Bacterial small subunit ribosomal RNA", at positions 89 to 978 of the family's 1533-position model. The record is from RNAcentral.
UGACGACCGGCGCACGGGUGCGUAACGCGUAUAGAACCUACCUUAUAGUAAGGGAUAGCCCAGAGAAAUUUGGAUUAAUACCUUAUGGUAUCAUAAAUUGGCAUCAAUUACUGAUUAAAGAUUUAUCGCUAUAAGAUGGCUAUGCGUUCUAUUAGCUAGUUGGUAUGGUAACGGCAUACCAAGGCUACGAUAGAUAGGGGUCCUGAGAGGGAGAUCCCCCACACUGGUACUGAGACACGGACCAGACUCCUACGGGAGGCAGCAGUGAGGAAUAUUGGACAAUGGAGGCAACUCUGAUCCAGCCAUGCCGCGUGUAGGAAGACUGCCCUAUGGGUUGUAAACUACUUUUAUAGAGGAAGAAACCCCGAUAUGUAUAUCGGUCUGACGGUACUCUACGAAUAAGGAUCGGCUAACUCCGUGCCAGCAGCCGCGGUAAUACGGAGGAUCCAAGCGUUAUCCGGAAUCAUUGGGUUUAAAGGGUCCGUAGGCGGGUUUGUAAGUCAGUGGUGAAAGUUUUCGGCUCAACCGGAAAAUUGCCAUUGAUACUGCAAGUCUUGAAUCAUUAUGAAGUGGUUAGAAUAAGUAGUGUAGCGGUGAAAUGCAUAGAUAUUACUUAGAAUACCGAUUGCGAAGGCAGAUCACUAAUAAUGUAUUGACGCUAAGGGACGAAAGCGUGGGUAGCGAACAGGAUUAGAUACCCUGGUAGUCCACGCCGUAAACGAUGGUUACUAGCUGUUCGGUUUUCGGACUGAGUGGCUAAGCGAAAGUGAUAAGUAACCCACCUGGGGAGUACGUUCGCAAGAAUGAAACUCAAAGGAAUUGACGGGGGCCCGCACAAGCGGUGGAGCAUGUGGUUUAAUUCGAUGAUACGCGAGGAACCUUACCAGG